Molecule: long non-coding RNA, 3140 nt
Organism: Strigops habroptila (Kakapo)
Lineage: Eukaryota; Metazoa; Chordata; Aves; Psittaciformes; Psittacidae
Exons: 4
Source: RefSeq, a predicted model, not a curated record
CGGGGACAGCCCCUCGGCGCACCCGCCCCAGGCCUCAAGUCGCCCGGCCCCGGUGCGGAGAGGAGGGGAAGAAGGAAGCCGCAGAGCAGGCUCUCCCUCUAUGGCCACCCCGCAGAGAGGGAGAAGAGGUGGUUGCUGGCGUUCCCCGCUGGCGGGGCGCAGGACGGAGGAGCCGUCGGCCAUCUCCUUCCCGCCCAGCGCGGCUGAGGCGAGCCGGGGCCGGCUGAGGGGAGCUCCGAUCCCGGCAUCCCCAUAAUACACUUUUAAAGUACUAAGGUUCCCCUUCCUCUCACGAUGACAGCCAAAUGGAUUGCUGCCAUGAUUUACAAUGAAAGGCAAACUACCAGUGAUAUCAGCAGAUGCUACGAGGAGAUGGGAGCUGUGACAGCUGGAAAGCAAGGAAUUAAUAUCUGCUAUACAGAGAAUGGUGUCAAAAAGCUUUUCAUAAUCUGCAGGCCUAUAAUGCUGCACCUCAGCAUUAAUGUCCAUUCCGGAUGCACCCCUCAACACUACUUCUAAUACUUCAAGCUGCCUAUGAAAGAAGCUCCCGCCCUCACACAGAACAGAGCCAUACAUCAACAGGACAGGAAGACAUGAACGAGUUUAAACCAUGAGCUUUAAGGAGAGAAAGGAACGAGCUCUGUAACUAUCAAAUCAGUUAACAGUUUUGGUAGGCUCUAAGUCCUAGCCAUGAAGGGUUUGAGGAACCUUCUCUCCAAGGAGUAGCAACUGCCAGCUCACAACAUUUGUAUUGCCAACUGAUCCUCACACAGGAGCCACUGUGCUUUCUUUGGGCCAGCCAAGCAAAACAAACUGGAGAGAUGCUCACUUAACAGAAAGGGGCCAAUACUUGAGACCAGGAACAUCCUGGUCACAGCUGAACUCUACGCGAACGCUGCUAACUCAUAUACUUCUACCUUAAACAGAAUAUACAGCACAAAAGUUAACUACAGUAUCCAAACUUACACAAAACACCUCCACAGCUGCCUAACCUUGGUCUACAGCUCUGUGUGAACAGCUCUACCUCGCAUCGUAGUGACAAUCUGAAGAUUAGAGGCCAAAUAAAUGGAUAAACUUUGGGAGAGCUUAACAUCAACUGCUAGCAAACAGAGACGAGACAUAACAAAGACGGGGAAGCCGAGACUACACACAGUGUUCAUACUGCUUUUUGUAUCCAUACUUCAUAUAUCUGUGAAAAUCAUUUAACUACAAAACUUUAGGUAGAAAAAUAACUGUAGAUCUUGUCUACAUGUGUCAUUAACACAUACUAGUAUCAAUUGUUUAGUCAAGAUACAGUGCAAUACCUCUUUGGAAUCAAUUGCAAAGAGUCCCUAUGGAGAGAGAGCAAGAGUACCUUAUUCCUGGCAUUUUGUAGUAAUGUAGUAUGGAGUAUUUAUGGAGGUAAGUCAGGACAGCUAUUGUACUUCCAAAUGGAACCCAACUGAGUUCAGGUUAACUUCAAGCACAGUCCUUGAGAUGAGGCAAGCCAGAAGCAACAGUUAUCUAAGCCCUCAAGGAACUUUUCCUACGCCUUCAGGAUACAAAGCUGAAGUAUGAUCACAGCAUUUUCAUCCAAGAAAAGAAUAAGCCGAAGAAAGAAAAAUAAAUGUAAACCAAGUUUAUUUUGCUUUUAAGUAGUGUUCUUUAAGCACUACAGCAUGGUAAACAAUGUAAAUUAGUAUAAGUCAUCUCAAAAGCCAGAGGUUUGUUUUUUUGUUUUUUGUUUUUUUUUUUUUUCUCUUUUUUAUUUUAUGAGUUGUUAAAAAGAUGCAGCCUAUUCUAACAGGAUAAAUAUUUUAACCAUUUCACUUCGAGUUAAUGAAGGCUCACAAAUGAGCAACACUCCUCAUUGAGGAAAACAAAAAGCUGUUGUCGACAAAGCGACAGCACACACACAAAAACAAAAGAACUGUGUAAAAAUAACUAACUGUACUGUGUUCCCAUACUCUUUCCAAGUUGCUUUACAAUGGGAUGAUGAUAUGCACAUGAUCUUGCUGCAAACUUGCCAUACAACUUGCAAAUACAUGUAGCCUAGCCUUACCACUCAGUCCAAAAAGCUGCUAACUGCUCAGAACAAACGCAGCGCUAUAAUCCUCUGCUUAACAAUGAAGUCAAUCCGUUUUUACUCAUUCCCUUUCCUCCUAGGCUGCAGGACAGGCUAGAAAGAAAAUGAUCCCGAAUUAAAAAUCGAUACUCUUCCAGGAAAAUUGUAGGAUUUUGCAAUAGAGUCUUUUACAAGUUAUGUUUUUGCCUAUUUUCCCCUUAGCCACAAAAUGGGCAUGAAGUAAUUACUUUGAAAAUGCCUUAAUUUUCAACUUCAUGCAAAUCUAAAGAAAGAUGACCAAACAAAAGCUUAAACAAUGGAAGGAUAUUUCACAGAAAAUUUCUUAUACAAAAAACACAUAAGAAAAAGGGCCACUAGGUGACAUUUUAAUUUACAAAUUGGCAUCAUUUUGGUCAACAAAUAUCCAAGUGCUGUUUUCUUCUAUCACAACAAAGUAGCUGUACAGAAAGAAAACUGCAAAACUUGUUUUAUUGUGUGUUUUGUUUUUAAUCGCACAUCUCCUCAGGAAUUUCAUGUGGAUUAAGGAUGCCAGGUACAGACAUCUGAAGUUUAUGCUUCUCCUCUUGAGCCUGCCGAAGGGCUGUUUCUCGUUCCUCCAAGAAUAAGUCUGAUGUGUCUUCACCUGCAAAUUCCUGUGGGAUCCACAUAAAACCAUUAGUUUAUUGGUGAGUGCUUUAAGGCAGAGUAAGAAGCUUCCAAAAUGACACAGAAAACAUCUUCCCUUCACGUUCCCUGCCAGACUAUUUGCUUUGCCUUCUGUUCCUAAUGUCAGAAUUAAUAUCAAGGAGUGGAACACAUUUUAGGAUGUUCACUGUGCGUACAAAACAGGGUGCUAUCGUAACCCAGUGUUUGGAGCUCAGCAGUAUCAUUAACAAUGUUGAAACAGGGUUUGGUUUGGGUUGGAAAGGAAGUUAAGAUCAUCUAGCUCCAACCCCCUGCCAUGGGCAGGGACAUUUCUCACACUAGACCAAGUUGCUCAAAGCUCCAUCCAAAAAUACCUGCUGAUUGCAGCCUCAAAACUAAUGAACAACAAGCUCUUCCUUACAAAAUUCCUGAAUUCUACCAUCUUCAGAAA